GCUUGUCUCAAAGAUUAAGCCAUGCACGUGUAAGAUCGUCUUGAAUAGCAAUAUUUACCGGCAAUCUGUGGAAAGCUCAUUAUAACAGUUACAAACUUGGCUUUCUAGCUUAAAGUUAAAAGGAUAACACAGUCAAAUGCAGUGAUAAUACUUGAACCAAAGCUAAUGAAUUCAUAGUUAGCGAAUAAUAGCGAGCAAGGGAAAAUACGCUAUAGUAUCUUCGGAUCGAUUGACCUCUUUAGAGGCCUAGGAGAAGUAUUUCUUACUUAUCAUGCUAGUUGUUUCAGUAAGGGUGAAACAAGGCCGUCACGGGUACGGAAAAUUGGGGUUUGACACCGGAGAGGGAGCCUGAGAAAUGGCUACCACAUCUAAGGAAGGCAGCAGG
This 385-nucleotide ribosomal RNA is filed under the name uncultured Vahlkampfiidae. RNAcentral describes it as "partial small subunit ribosomal RNA". It matches the Rfam family "Eukaryotic small subunit ribosomal RNA", at positions 30 to 432 of the family's 1831-position model. The record is from RNAcentral. Lineage: Eukaryota; Heterolobosea; Eutetramitea; Acrasida; Vahlkampfiidae.